RNAcentral lists this unclassified non-coding RNA (351 nucleotides) under uncultured Mortierella. RNAcentral describes it as "sequence contains ITS2". The stretch from base 1 to 52 matches the Rfam family "5.8S ribosomal RNA", at positions 103 to 154 of the family's 154-position model. The record is from RNAcentral. Lineage: Eukaryota; Fungi; Mortierellomycota; Mortierellomycetes; Mortierellales; Mortierellaceae.
AACGCAUAUUGCGCUCUCUGGUAUUCCGGAGAGCAUGCUUGUUUGAGUAUCAGUAAACACCUCAACUCCCUUUUUUUCUUUUUUGAAAUGAGGGAGCUGGACUUGAGUGAUCCCAACACUUUUCUUCACUGAAAAGUGGCGGGUCACUUGAAAUGCAGGUGCAGCUGGACUUUUCUCUGAGCUAUAAGCAUAUCUAUUUAGUCUGCCUAAAAAACAGAUUAUUACCUUUGCUGCAGCUAACAUAAAGGAGAUGAGUUCUUGUGCUGACUGAUGCAGGAUUCACAGAGACAGCUUCGCGGCUGACUUUGUAAACUCGAUCUCAAAUCAAGUAAGACUACCCGCUGAACUUAA